This 524-nucleotide ribosomal RNA is filed under the name uncultured bacterium. Its description in RNAcentral is "partial 16S ribosomal RNA". The record is from RNAcentral.
ACUGACAGCCAUGGUUACCGCGGCUGCUGGCACGGAGUUAGCCGGUGCUUCUUCUGCGAGUAACGUCACAGAUGUAAGGUAUUAACUUACACCCUUUCCUCCUCGCUGAAAGUGCUUUACAACCCGAAGGCCUUCUUCACACACGCGGCAUGGCUGCAUCAGGGUUUCCCCCAUUGUGCAAUAUUCCCCACUGCUGCCUCCCGUAGGAGUCUGGGCCGUGUCUCAGUCCCAGUGUGGCUGAUCAUCCUCUCAGACCAGCUAGGGAUCGUCGCCUAGGUGAGCCUUUACCUCACCUACUAGCUAAUCCCACCUGGGCUUAUCCAUCAGCGCAAGGCCCGAAGGUCCCCCUGCUUUCCCCCGUAGGGCGUAUGCGGUAUUAGCAGUCGUUUCCAACUGUUACUCCCCCACAAAUGGGCAAAUUCCCAGGCAUUACUCACCCGUCCGCCGCUCGUCAUCUUCAAAAGCAAGCUUUUGAAAUGUUACCGCUCGACUUGCAUGUGUUAGGCCUGCCGCCAGCGUUCAAU